GAAAGAGAGAUAAAUUAUAGAGAGAGAAAGGCUGAUUGAUUCUAUAUCUGCUAAUGCUGAAAUUGUUAAAAAAAAGCUUCCAAGACUAUGGAGGCCUGCAGUAAAUUUAUCACUAUAUAUAUUCAUAGUGACGUCAGCUUCCAUUAUAAUACCCAAACCAUAAGAAGCUUUUUGCAGGUUCAGCCAUUACCAUUUCCAUUUCUCAGAAUGGCGUUUCUUACCAAAAUUGCUAAUCCUCAGCACUUUAGAAUACCUAAUUGCCCUAAUUCUUACAUGUUCGUAGCGGUUCUGUCUCUGUUUUGAUGAUUUUUUGGGUGUUUAUUAGCAACAGGUGUGGUUAUUCAUUACCGAUCCGAACCCGAUUUCGGACAACUUUUUUCGGUGUUUUUUUUUUUAUUUUAAUUUGGGGAUUCGAAGAGAAUUAAUUAAUGGCGAUUUCUGGAUUGAGUAAUCAUCACCAGAAAUUCGAGAUGCCUGCUGGAAUUAGGGCAUCUUCCAUGCCUGUCGGUAUGAACUCUGUCCGAGCUCGAGGAAGGUACGAUUUCGAUACCGAAUUUCGGAAAGGGGAAAGAAAACUUACUGCUGCUGUAAUAAUCCGACAUUCUAAGAAGAUGCGAACCGCCAUUUCACCUCUAGCUUCUUCUUCUUCUUCUUCUUUUGCUGUUACUGAAUCUUCGAACAGAGCAGAGAUUUAUAAGAAGAUUCUCGAAGCCGCCAGAGACAAAUUCACUCGCGAAAUAUCUUUCCAGUCGAAGGACAAAGACAUCUCACUCGCUAGGGCCUUACUCUACAUUGCUGCUGAGGACGAAGCAUUUUUGGCAUUGCAUCGGGAGAUGGAUUUCCGAUCGACCCUCGACGAGAGGCCAGAAACGGCGCCGUCGAUUGACGGCGGCGGGGCACAUUGGGAUUCGGUGGAGACGAUGUUGUUGGAAGGGAAGAACGUAGACGAGUGGUUGGCUGCGAUCGAUGCAUUGGCGAAGGAAGUCGAGGCCGAGCUCGUUGAGCGAGAGAUCGGAUGCCAUUUGGUCGAAGUUCUCGACGCCGUCAACAAAGUUUUAUUCGAGAUUAGGGGCUUUAAGAGGUUGCCGGUAUUGGUCGACUCCAAAUGCUCGUAUUUGCAUUCGGCAUUGAGCACCGGACAAUCAAGUGCGAUCUUGCUAAGUGUGGUUUAUAUCGAGGUUUGCCGAAGGCUAAACUUGACUAUCGUCGGAUCUCGAGUCGGGGAAGAUUUUUUGAUAUGGCCCUCCACCGGGAACCCCGAGGAGCUAUUCAAAGUAACUUGCGGGCAUAGUUUAUUCGGGAUUGUUAACGGGAAGUGUGUGGAUGAUCCGCGAUCGAGGGCUUCAGACAUAACGAGCAACUCGCUGUUAGGAUUGGACAUUGCGACGAACCGGGACAUCAUUGGAAUUGCUUUGGCCAAUCUAAUCAGGCUUUAUUGGAAACGGGCUUCAAGAACGAAUCACGGGCUUAUGCUGACGUCUCCACUCCGUUCAACGAUGUUCAAUAACGGUGAUUCGAGCUGUCCGUUAUUACGGCCUCGGGAGCUUAGGUUUUGAGAUGCUUAAAUUCCGACAUUGGACUUGAGUGACGGAAAUUGUGAAUUCGGACACAAUUUAAAUAUCUCCAUUUUUUCAAAAUAUAGCCAUUCUACGGAUCGCCAUAGUUUAAAUGUAAUUUACCUUUGAUGAGUUGUGCUUCCGUGAAAUUCUUACAUCAGGAUUAGGUUUAGGAGUUUUCGUCUUUGUGUUGUGACACUAACGUUGUUCGGUGUCCAAUUCUUUCGAUUGAUCGGUCUCUUUUUAGGGCGAUUCGAAUCUUUCUAUUAUUCUUUGUUAGGUUUAGGACAUGAUUCUUGAGGUUCGAUGAAAAUUAAGAUUCGUUCAUCAGGGUUUGUCUAGGCGUAUUUUUAUAGUUUGGAUUCAUUGUCGAAUGUUCCGGGGCAUGAUUUUUGAAAACAUCGUUCUGGAAAACUAUUUCGCCGUGUGUAAGUACAAUUGUAUGUUUCAAUGCUACGGUUACUUUUCAGGUUGGCGAUGAUGGCUUCGGAGAGAUUACUAAUCCUUCAGCCGCACAAUUGGGCUUUGCGACGGGACCACGGCAUGAUGUUGUAUUACACCCGUGAAUACGAGGCUGCGGUGCAAGAGCUGAGCAUAUGUAUGGCCUUUGCACCUGAG
This is an RNA transcript of Andrographis paniculata, 2174 nucleotides long. RefSeq lists it as uncharacterized. The transcript has 9 exons. The record is from RefSeq and is a predicted model, not a curated record. Lineage: Eukaryota; Viridiplantae; Streptophyta; Magnoliopsida; Lamiales; Acanthaceae.